This is an RNA transcript of Balaenoptera acutorostrata (minke whale), 11243 nucleotides long. It is a transcript of the gene named protein-glucosylgalactosylhydroxylysine glucosidase, with no coding region annotated. Lineage: Eukaryota; Metazoa; Chordata; Mammalia; Artiodactyla; Balaenopteridae. The transcript is spliced from 13 exons. The record is from RefSeq and is a predicted model, not a curated record.
GACACUCAGCCCCUGGAGACCCACCCCCUAAAUCCCUGGCCCCAGCCCUGGGCUUCAACCACUCCGCCAGACCAAAUGUCCAUCUAGUGUCUGGUGCGCGUGGCCACAGUCUGGACCGACACGCUUUCCCUCCCCUGAAGGCUCUGGCCCCUAGUCCCUACCCGCUCCCCCAGCCUCUGACAGCCCCCCUUAGUGGCCACCUCCCGUCACUGUGUGCUUUUGGCAUAACCCAGGCCAGCAGCUCCCCAUCACUGCCUCCCCGAGCCCUGGCCUCCUGCCCCACCAACGCCACUCCCGCCCUCUGCGCUCGGCUACAGUCUAACCUCCGUGGAGCUGAGCGAGCAGUCACUGCAGGAGCUGCGGGCUGUGGGGACAGCAAAGGCGGGACUGGCCACCACCCACCCAGCGUUGGACAACGACUCGCAGCCUCACAAAGGGCUCGGCAGUGCCCCCGAGGCCCUGGGGGAGGGCUCUAGUCAGCCCUGCAGAGUAGCCCUCCCCACUCCGAGGGCGAGAGGGUGGCGCUCUCUGCUGUGGGCAACUCUUUUGAGCCUGAGGGGCCCUGGACAGGCAGGUGGGAGACCCAGACAGACACGGCCCCUUGCCUGCUCCUGGACAGCCCCCGAGACCUCCCCACACCCUGGGGACAGGUAUGUCUCUGUCCUCCCCACCAGGAGGAGGGGCUCCCCUCCCCUAACCCCACUGCUGCCCCACCCACGUUCCUCUCCUGGGAGCCUCCAGCCCUCCCGCUGCAGGCGCCCCUCAGCAGCAAGGGUGAUGAUGGGCGCCCCCAGGAAUUGAGGGCCUUGACCUGGUGCAGGAUGACGCAUUUGCUGAUCCUGAGGACCUACAGUGUGCUGGCCUUCGCCUGGUGCAGGGUGACCCAUCUGCUGAUCCUGAGGACCUACAGUGUGCUGGCCUUCGCCUGGUGCAGGGUGACCCAUCUGCUGAUCCUGAGGACCUACAGUGUGCUGGCCUUCGCCUGGUGCAGGGUGACCCAUCUGCUGAUCCUGUGCCCACGCACAGUAUGGGCACGCAUAGCCCACUACUCGGCUCCAGCCGUAGGGGAUCAAGCAGGGGCUGCCCCUUGGCUGAAGGCAGGCCCCUCCGCCGAGCCAACCUUCCCAUGGAGGAUGCUGGCAAGGACGCCACCAGAUUCACUGCCCGUUCUCUGCCCGGUGACCCCCGGCUCUUGGCCACCGUGACCAAUGCCUACUUGGGCACACGCGUGUACCAUGAGACACUGCAUGUGAGCGGCGUGUACAAUGGGGCUCGGGGGGAUACGCACCGGGCCAUUCUGCCCAGUCCCCUCAAUGUCCAGCUGGAGGCCCCUGCAGGAUCAGGAGAGCAGCUGACCAACACCUUCGUCCUGGACACUAACACAGGCUCCUUUCUGCACACCCUGGAGGGCCCCAGCUUCCGGGCCUCCCAGCGCAUCUAUGCCCACCGCACGCUGCCUCACGUCCUGGCCUGCAGCGUGUCCAUCACCCGCUUGGCCACAGGGAGCUGGCCCAUCACUGUGCUGCUGCAGUCAGCCUUCUCCCCAGAGAGCCCGGACCUGGACCUGCACCUGGGUCCUGACUUCCAGGGAGCCCGGUACCUGUACGGCCGCACACUCACCCCCGAGCAGCCUGGGGGGGCACAGCAGGAGGUGCACAUGCUGUGGACGCCCGUGCCCCCAGCCUUGACCCUUGGGGAAGGGGAGGAGGAUGGGACGUGGGAGUUCCUGACGGUGGUGGGUGGCAGCCAGGCCGAAGCCCAGGCCUGCCUCGCCGACGCCCUGCAGCUGCAGGCCAGGCGCACUCUCUACGCGGCCCACUCGCAGGCCUGGGCCCAGCUCUGGGCAGGCUGUGGCCUGGAUGUGGAGGGGCCCCUGCGUCUGCGCCAGGCCCUGCGUGGAGCUCUCUACUACCUGCUCAGUGCCCUGCCCCAGCCCGGGGCCCCAGAAUACGUCUGCCACGGCCUCAGCCCAGGGGGCCUCUCCAACGGGAGCCGUGAGGAAUGCUACUGGGGCCACGUCUUCUGGGACCAGGACCUCUGGAUGUUCCCCAGCGUCCUGAUGUUGCACCCCGAGGCUGCCAAGGCUCUCCUGCAGUACCGCAUCCGGACGCUCAGUGGGGCCCUGUACAACGCCCAGAACCUAGGCUACCAGGGAGCCAAGUUUGCCUGGGAGAGCGCGGGCUCCGGCCUGGAGGUCUGCCCUGAGGCCAUUUAUGGGACCCAGGAGAUCCACAUCAACGGGGCCGUGGUGCUGGCCUUCCGUCUGUACUACCACGCCACCCAGGACUUGCAGCUCUUCCGAGAGGCUGGGGGCUGGGAUGUGGUCCGUGCCGUGGCUGAGUUUUGGUGCAGCCGUGUGGAGUGGAGCCCUGAGGAGGAGAAGUUCCACCUGAAGGGAGUCAUGCCCCCUGACGAAUACCAUUCAGGGGUCAACAACUCCGUGUACACCAACGUCCUGGUCCAGAACAGCCUGCGCUUUGCUGCUGCCCUGGCGCAGGACCUGGGUCAGCCCGUCCCCAACCAGUGGCUGGUGGUGGCUGAUAAGAUCAAGGUGCCCUUUGACCCGAAACUGAACUUCCACCCUGAGUUUGAUGGGUACCAGCCUGGUGAGUGGGCUUGGAGCUCCUUCAGGGCCCUUCUCCCCUCCCACAGGACCUCGUGUCCGCCCUGGACGCCCCCUUUCCAACAGAGCAGUCCCCGCCCUCCCCACCUUACCCCAUCAGCAGCACCGCCCCCCUCACCCCCAGGAGAGGAGGUGAAGCAGGCAGAUGUUGUGCUCCUGGGGUACCCCGUCCCCUUCCCCCUGAGUCCUCAAGUUCGCAGGCAAAACCUGGAGAUGUAUGAGGCUGUGACGUCCCCCCAGGGCCCUGCCAUGACUUGGAGCAUGUUUGCAGUGGGCUGGAUGGAGCUGAAGGACCCCGGGCGGGCGUGGGACCUCCUGGAGAGGAGCUUCGCCAACGUCACGGAGCCCUUCAAGGUGUGGACGGAGAAUGCAGACAGGUCCGGUGCCGUGAACUUCCUGACAGGCAUGGGGGGCUUCCUGCAGGCGGUGCUCUUUGGGGUCACGGGGUUCAGAACCUUCCCCUCGCCGCAGGAUCACCGAGGCCGGUUUGACCUUCGACCCCAUGUGUCCCGCGGGGGUCUCCGGAGUGUGCGUCUCUGGCAUCUCCUACCAGGGGAGCAAGCUUGACUUUUCCUUCUCCGAGGGCUCUGUGACAGUUGAGGUCACUGCCCGGGCAGGGCCCUGGGCCCCCCGGCUGGAGGCUGAGCUGUGGCCAUCACAGGUUCGGCUCCCCCUGUCCCCAGGACACAAGGUCUCCUUUCCCUGCUCAGCUGGCCGGAUACAAAGGUCACGCCUGUAGGAAGCAGGGGCAGCAAGUUCUGCUCCAAGAGUUUCCUGGGAAGAUUUUUGGAAGACAUUAAACAUCUGCGCAGAGCCCACAGGACCCCCUCUGGGACAUCCUUGGGCCCUCCAGCCCCGCCGAGUCCCCCCAACCCUGGCCCAGUCCUGCCCCCUCCCCCAAAACAACCAGGGCUAUUGGCUUCAGGAUGUCUCUCAGGUCCUCCCCCCUGGCCACUCCCUCUGCCGGUGCCCCCGCUGGCUGCACCCACCCCUCCUCAAUGCCCUCCCAGCCUGCCGCCCCCUCCCACCCUCCUCCACGUGGCAGCCAGGCUCACGGGUUCCAAGGAAAGUCUGGAUUCUGUGGCCUAAGUUCAAGACUCUGCCUCUAGCCUGAGCCCCUCCCCAGCCUAACCCCCCCCUGGAUGGGCAGCUUUCCUGCACCCUCACACAGCAUGUCUGCUCCUGCCCUCCCUCAGUGCCCCUUCCCUAGGACCCCACAGGGUGAGGUGGGGGAAUGGCCAACGGUUCUGCGGAGAAGACAGAGGCAGAUGCCGGCCUUGAUGGGGAGCACGGCAGGAUGAGGGGCGUGGGGGAGACUCAGUCUCCUGUGGGAUUACUUGGGACACCGAGUCGCAGCUUCACCACAAAGGAACCUUCUGUGUCACACAAGGGAGCAUCAGGUAUGGCUGGGUCCAGGUGCUCUUGGGCUGUUGUGAGCACUCAGCAUCCUCAGUCCUUGGCUCCUCUGGCCUCUGGGCCACUUCAGUCAAGUUGGAUGGUCUCUGUCACAUGCCUUUCCGCAGCCAGGAAGGGAGGGGAGUGGGGUGUGGGGCAAGACCCUACAUUUCCUCUGACCGGCCAGAAGGACUGGGGCCAAGUGUGCGUGAGUUCAAGGCCGUGGCCCUGGGCCCACUUGUCCUGGGCAGGCUGCCCUCAGCCGAGGCUCUGCCCACUGUGUCCUCCUGGGCUUCAGCCCCUCAGUUGGCACAGCAGACUUGGGUUUCCCCAGGGUGGGGCGAGAUGGUGUCUGCCAUGGAAGUCCUGGCGAGGGCCAAGCCUGCUGCACCAGAUCUGCCUGAGGGACGGGCAAGCUUUGUCUGCUGUGAGGAGCUGACGAGCUCCCUCCUGAACGUGAGGAUUUCGUAAAGGAUCAAGUUUCCCUUCCAGGCGGCUGGGAAGCAGUCACGUGCUCGUGUAGAGCAAGUAAGCGGUCCCGUCACGUCUGCGCCCCUCCUUCAUCUGCAAACCGCUGCUCUCUGUUCUCAGUGGAGAGUUAGCCUGAGUUCUCCAAGAAGCGGACACCAGGCAGGCAAAGUGUGAUGGACUGAAGCCCCGUGAGGGAGAGAGGGAGGGGGGUGGCUGCAGGGAGUGUGGCCGAGCUGCAGACCAGCUCCCUGAGGGCCUGUGGCCUCAGAAUGGAUCCAGCGACUUGGUGGGGCUCCCCCAGGGGCCCACAGGCUCUCGCUCAACCGGUGGCAGUGCCGCAAAGGCCCAGGCAGGUCUGCUGAAGCAGAGCAUGGUGGCCAGGGGCUGUCCCCAUGAAGCAGACACUUGCCUUUGCAGCCCUGGAGCCAGACGUGGGCACAGGCAUCAGGUGGGGGUGGUAGGUGGCCCUUCACCCCCAGGACUGACGUAGCGUGAUACCUGCCGCGUGUGUGUGCCGCGUGUGUGUGUGUGUGUGUGUGCGUGCACACCCACCUGUGCCUGUGGAGGGGCAACCCUCCAAGGGGCCGUGACAGGGUGGCAGCAUGUGUGUGCUGGCCUGGCUGGUCCGGCCCAUGACAGCCAAUUGCCUGAACCUGACCAGGGUCCUUCAACCUGCCCAGGAGACGGGCUGGAAGGGUUGCUGGUGACCUUCCUCUGUGCCUGGCUUGACUGCAUAUUCUCUGUCCUCAGCAACUGGGCACGGGCUGGACAAUGUCUGCUCCCCUCACCAAAUGUGGAGACCAGAAGACCAUCCCCUGCUUGGAGACACGUACCCGGCUACACACAGGCUGACCCCUGCUCCCAGCCUCUGUGUCCAGCAUGGGUUGGUCCCUUCCUGGGCCAAAUCUGGAGCUCAGUGUUGGAACGCCGUCUCCAUCGUAGUCCGAGCGCUGGCCUUGCCCUUAGUCCAGUGUAGGACCAGUGCCCAGGAAGGGGUAGUGCUGCAUCUCCACGCCAGGCCCCGGCCAGCACCACCUCUGCCUCAGGGGCUGGCUCAGAGCAGCGCACACUCAGCACGGGGCUGGGGCACCGCCGGGCUGCAGCCGGCACUCAUUUCUGCGGGCACGCUUUGGAGACAGCUGGACCAACCGCUGGCUGUCACAGGAGGGGGGCCACUCUGGGGGCUCCAAGUACAGCAGCUAGACAGAGACCCACGCCCCCAGCCCAGGCAGGGUGGGCAGGCAAAGGGAGGGAAGGGACCACGGGGUGGGUACUCGGAGCCCUGAGCCACCCUGUGGUUAAGGCCCCUGCAAUUAGCCUGCCCUGUCAUCGGCCCGGCCACAGCAAGGCCCAGGGGCCCCACCCCCAACCACACAGGGCGUGCGUGUGUCUCUGGCAGCCCCCGCUCUGCCAGGCUCUGCCGGGGCUGCUGGGGGGUUACAUAAGGGAGGUAAACUGACGUGAGGCGCUCGGAAAAUGCCCUCGCCCCCCCCCCAUGUCUCCCUCUCUGUACGAUCGUGCGUGUGCGGAGGGUGCACCUGUGCACAUGGGUGUGAUGGACGUGUGCACGGAUGAUGGUGUGACCGUGUCUGUGUCCAGCCCCACCGAUCCAGGAAGGAGGAAACCCACUGCUGGGACAGAGAUUGAUCAGAAUUAAAGGGACGCAGGGUCACAGGAACAGAGUGACCCAAAGAAGGAGGUCAGCACAGGCCCAGCCACGGACAGGAACGUGCAGAACAAGGGCAAGUCUCACUGGCCAGGGACUCCUCUUAACACGUGUGCACACACGCUGACCCGGGGAUGGGCAGACACGUGGACGCGGAGACGCACCACACGCAUUCUGAAAGACAGGCCGCUAAACCACAGAGCGGCAGAGAUCAAAGCCCGACUUCCCAAACUUCAUUCUAAAAUACUCGGGCCCCUCCACCCAGAGGCCGCAGGCUGCCCAGUGCCUGAGCAAAGGGGACAGUCGGGGCACCAAGCCGACAGGGCGGGGCGUCCACCAUGGACGCUGGGGGCAGUCCAGGGGAAUUUGGCUGCAGUGGUCCCUAGGGUAGCUCCCCUCAGGAAGAUGCCCUCCCCCACCCCAGCCAGGAACAGUCCUGGAAGGCACUUUCUGGAGCCAGGCGCUUUUAAUUGUGAAACUGAGGCUGAGCCUGGUGACUGGGGAGGGAGGAGCUGGCCUGGGGGCAUCGAGGUGAGGCUAAGGCCCUGGGGUCCCCGUGGAGGAUCUUCAGGGUCAGUGUUAGGUGCCCAGGCUGGGGCUGGAGGGUGGGCCUCAGGCCCGUAGGCAAGUCAGGGUUCCGGGUGAUGAGGGUGGAGCCCCCGGGGUUGGGGUCCCUGGGUCAGGGGGGGACAGGGCCCAGCCUGUCAGUCAUAGUCUGAGUCGUCGAACUUGGUGCUGAAGAAGGCGGCGGAGCCCUUGGCCAGCCGGGACAGGUGCAGGGCGCCGGUCACCACCAGCGCCAGCAGCAGCAGAGGCGGCACCAGAGCCCACACCGCGGCCAGGAUGUUGUAGCACUUGGCUUUGGAGCCGAGCCGCCGGGCUGCUUCCAGAUCUCCGGUUACCUUCUGGUCUCGGGCCUGUGGACCAGCAGCAGGGCCAGCUCUCUACACGUGCUUGGGGCCAGGGUGGGGCCUGCCACCCGGUCCCAGGCAGCCGCUGGGUCCACACCUUGGAGGACCCGAGCUGGACCCAAAAUCUGGAUGGAGGGGUGUGGCCUGAGGGGAUAUUGCCUGGGCUCCACCCACUCCCUUCACCGUCCCCAGCUGGGCACAUGGGCUUGGCCCGCCCAGGGGGCCUUGGGUCAUGAGGGGCUCAGCCUAAGGUGGGGCUGAAAGGAGACCCUGCAACCUCCCACUCCAGCUAUGGACCCAGUGGCCCUCCCAGGCCAGCAUCAGCCUCCAAGGACCUCCGAGGGUAGGGGGUCCUCAGCGGUGCUGAGAGCGUUUGAUGGAAGAGACCCCCUUGGGUAAGGCCCCAUCGACCCUGGGCUCUUUGGGACAAACUAGAGCCCCCGUUCGUUGUUACGAACGGCACGCCAGCCUCAGUGGAGAAGCAGCCCUCGUGAGGGAGGGGCUCCCCCCAGCGUCAGGCCGACGGACGGCCCCGUGGAGACUCCUGCACCCCAACUUGAUAAGCAGCCCCCAUGAAACGCUCUUGGGCCCCCUCGAAGCGCCCCAAGGCCCACCUUGAUGGAGUAGGCCAGCGCCAGGAAGCCGAGGCAGCACGGGUUCAGGUAGAGGGUGCUGAACACCGACCAGAUCAAGUGGUCUCGAGGUGGGGGUCGCGGCGCCCCCAGCGUGAGGGCCGUGUGGGCGGUGCCGUCGGCCUUGCGGGGCGUCGGGGCCCGGGGGUCCUCGCGGGGGUACGACGUGUCCAUGGGUUCCAGCGCCGUCUCCUCGCUCGGACUCCUGCUUCGAGGGUGGGCGCCCCGGCCGCUUAUAGCCCCCGCCGCCGCCCGGCUGACCGGCCCGCCGCUAAAUUUAACGACAAAUGACAGCCCGGAGCUGAGCGAUCGGCCCCGCCCGCCCCGCCGCCCCGCCUGCGCGAGCCCACCCCCCACCCCCCGCUGAGUCCCCCUCCCCCACAGAAAGCCCCGCCCCCGCGGAGAAGCACUGCCCCGUCGAGGCCGGGGGCCCGUGCGGUGGCCGCGGUCGCCCCCCAGAGCCCCCGCCCCCGCGGACGAAAGGAGGGGGACGCACCAGCUCAGGGCCGUGGUGGGUGGGCCGCUGCCUCGGCCUGAGGGCAGGGCUAGGGCUGCUGAAACCACGGCUCCUCUGUCCCCAGAACUGCCCGCAUCACCUGGUCACCGGUGCCCACCCUGCCGGGUGCUCAGGAGAGAACAGCGGGGAAGGGAGAGAGCCGGGGGGUGGCUGUUAGGGGACCAGCUGGGACCCGGACGUUACUGUGCGGGUGCUACAGCGAGCUCCCCGGGGCCUGCUCUGGGGACCGCCCUCCUCCCUCACAAGCUGGCAGCUGCUUCUCAGGCUGCUUGCCUGGUUGCUUCUCCCUCCUGAAUCCAGAGCUGCGGGGCGGGGAGGGCGGGGCUGAGCUUAUGUCUGCACCCUGGCCUCAUCUCCCUCCAGAGGGCCCAGCAGCCUCGGCUAAAAAUGCCAUCUAUGUGCCCGUCAGUCACAUUUAUGUCAAAGGGCCAGAUUGCCGUGUCCGCGGAGGAGGGCUCCCGGGAUCUCCAGCCUAACUCCUCAACGGGAAACCUCAGGCUCUCCCAAACCUUCUGUCUGAGUUGGGACUCCCACAGCAAAGUAGCUAGACUAGUGGCUCAUAAAUAAUAGAAAUUUAUUUCUCACGUUUCUGGAGGCUGAAGGUCUGAGGUCAGGGUACCAGCGUGGAUGGGUUCUGGUGAGACCCGCUUUCUGGUUGCAGAGCGCCGACUUCUCAGGGCUCCUCACUGGUGGAAGGAGCUGGGGAGCUCUAUGGGGUCCCUUUUAUAAGAGCACUAAUCCUACCAUGAGGGGUCCAGCCUCAUGACCUGACCACCUCCUAAUACCGUCACUUUAGAAUUUCAAUAGGAAAUGGGGGGGGGGGACACAAGCAUUCAGUCCACUGCACCCUCUGUCCGGUCUCUGCGGGCACAGGUGGUGGCCACUCCACCCGUCCGACUGCUCAGGCCAAGAGCCUUGGCUUACGCCCGCGCCCUCUGCCCCUCACACAGGAUCCAUUUGGUCCCGCCUUCCAGAAUGUGCAGAAUCUCACCCCCACUGUGACCUCUGAGGCCAAGCCACCCUCACCUUCUCCUGGGUUAGCGUGGCCCCCUCCUCGGCCUUCUCACUGCUCCAGCCGGAGUGAGCCUGUUACAACAGAAAACAAGUUGUGCCUCCUGCUCCCCCCGAGGGCCCCCACCUCACGCCAGAUCCAGAGUCGCUGCAGAGGCUCAGGAGGCCCUGCAGGGUUACUCCAGGCCACGCUCCUGGACUCUGAGAGGGACACUGAAUAGGGAGGCUCUUUGUGUCAAGCCCUGAAGAAGGGAGGAAGAGGAACAGGAUGGGGGGCAGUAGAAGCUGAGCGGCAGUAAGGCCCAGCGAAGACCUGAGCUGAGCCCUCAGGAGCUCUGGAGCUUGGAGGACACCUGAGAGAUGCCCGAAGCAGGGCGGCAUUCUACUCACCCUCAGCUGCCAGCUCUGCUAGGCCCAGUGGAUUACUGUGUGUUGUGGCCCCUUCUCCGAGAGACCUAGGCCGUGGUCACCGUGACCGCACUGGGGCAGGAGUGCUGCACGUGGCCAUUUACCGUAACAUUGGGCAAGAGGGGACCCAGUGUGGAGCGCCCCUCCCUCCUCCUGCGGACCAGAGUCAAGUGGCCCUGCCUGCGACCCAGGCAUGAGAAACAAAGGGGCAUCCAGAGAGCUUAGGUCAACGGCACCUUUUUGUGUCACCUGAAGGAAGCUUUGGGAAACAGAACUUCUGAACCCACAGAGCCCAGAGCAGCAGGGCUGGAGAGCAUGAAGACACCAGUGGCACAGGAAGUGACGAGAGGCAGAGCUGCCCAGUCCUGCCCUGGGGCCCUGGACCCACGUAUUCUACCCACAGCCGCUCGGCACCUCAUAACGGCCUUUGACCUGAGGGCUAACUGGAGGCAGGAGGGGUGCCCACCCUCGGCUCGGUCCAGUGGGGUGGUAAGGCGUGGGACGUGACUGGCAGACCUGAGCCUGUGUUCCCAUCACUGGGGAUGACAUACGAUGUGGACUUCUGGGCAGGGUCAGCGCUCCGAGUUCCUGAGGGGUGCAGCUGAGGUCUGGGAGCGGUGCUGGCAACCACGCCCAGGCACAUGCUUCCCCUCUGGCGACAAGGGUCCAAUGAAAGUAACUUGCUUGCAGCUCUGCCCCUCACCCCGGUGUUCAGGCCGCCCCUGAGUGGGCUGGAGUGCAGGCCCCAUCCUGCGGCCAGCCGUCUCCCUCACACUGAACUGACCGAUGGAGAACCGGGCUGGGAAUUCUUCCUUCCCCAUCAUCUGGUCCCAAGGGGAUCCCCCUGCAGCCCCAGGUGUGAGCAGAGAGACAGGCCUUGGGAAGCAGUGGUGGAUGACACAGGGUCAGGACAACCUGCUUGUUUGACCUGGAAUGUUCCACGUCCAUCCUUGAAUGCAUUGCUGCUGGACUAAACUGUCAACUGAAAGGCAAACACACAAUGCAAGAACUGUGAGGUGAGUGUUAUUAACGGUGUUACUGAGGACUGCAGCCUGGGAAGCAGCCUCUUGGUACCUCUGAGAAACUGUAGCAGGAAGAACAGAACUGGCACCUCCCCCCCCCCCCAUUCUUCGGCCCAUGUAGUCCAUCACUUUCGUCCCCACACGCCAAGAGUUAAACAGUAGAGAAAUGUUGUUUGUUCCCAAAUAGCCCAUUAAGUUCCCUGAAGAACGUUCCCAUCCCAUGGUCCUGGGUUACUUAUGGCCAUUACUUGUUGUAGAUAAGUUUGCUUUCAGCCUGGAAACCUUGCAAAUAAGCAGAGAUAAGGGUGUAAAGUAAAAAUAACUGCUAAGAACUUGAAGAUUUGCAGGAGCCUUGUGAUCCAGCCUGUGUGAGCAAGCAGAAGAACAAAGAAACGCUACGCUUCCUUGAAGGCCAGGUGGCUCCGAGAAGUCUGCAAUCUGCCUUCACCCUCUAAUCUCAAAUCUUCCUGCUUCCCCUUUUCCCUUCGCACAAAAGAAGACCAAAUUCUACCCCGAAUUAAGAUGGUUCUUUAGGAACCAUCUUCUUGGUUUGCUGGCCUCUGAAUAAAGUCACUAUUUCUCCCUCA